GAUGAACGCUGGCGGCGUGCCUAAUACAUGCAAGUCGAGCGAACGGACGAGAAGCUUGCUUCUCUGAUGUUAGCGGCGGACGGGUGAGUAACACGUGGAUAACCUACCUAUAAGACUGGGAUAACUUCGGGAAACCGGAGCUAAUACCGGAUAAUAUUUUGAACCGCAUGGUUCAAAAGUGGAAUACGGUCUUGCUGUCACUUAUAGAUGGAUCCGCGCUGCAUUAGCUUGUUGGUAAGGUAACGGCUUACCAAGGCAACGAUGCAUAGCCGACCUGAGAGGGUGAUCGGGCAGACUGGAAGGGAGACACGGUCAAGACACCUACGGGAGGCAGCAGUAGGGAAUCUUCCGCAAUGGGCGAAAGGCUGACGGAGCAACGCGGAGUGAGUGAUGAAGGUGUUCGGAUCGUAAAACUCUGUUAUUAGGGAAGAACAUAUGUGUAAGUAACUGUGAAGAUAGUGACGGUACCUAAUCAGAAAGCCACGGCUAACUACGUG
Molecule: ribosomal RNA, 497 nt
Filed under: uncultured bacterium
Lineage: Bacteria
Description: partial 16S ribosomal RNA
Rfam family: Bacterial small subunit ribosomal RNA
Source: RNAcentral